Molecule: long non-coding RNA, 1118 nt
Organism: Trachymyrmex septentrionalis
Lineage: Eukaryota; Metazoa; Arthropoda; Insecta; Hymenoptera; Formicidae
Exons: 3
Source: RefSeq, a predicted model, not a curated record
UACAGUAUGGACACUGAACUUUUUAUGUGGUCUCCAAUUUUUAGUGUACAUGCGUCGAUUUCCAACCAGGAAUAUGGCUGCCUUCAAUAAAGCCUGCAGCACACGAUGCUUGUUUUCCUGCUGGAUUGCUAGCUGUGAUGCUAGCACCGACAACAUUACAGCUAAUACGAUGACAAAAUUCUAAUUCAGUUAGCAAUCUAGCAGGAAAACGAGCAUCGUGUGCUGCAGGCUUAAGUUGAAAUUGCAGAAUCGGUUAUCAAAACGAAAAACACUACAAAUGCUGAAGUGGAAAGGUACAUGCAAGAGUGGAUGCGACGGGCCGGCGAUAGAAUAAGAGACUGCUAGUCCAAGUUCCGCAUGCAUGGAGCUGAGGGGAUGAACGCAACAGGCAUUGAAUUAUAAGACCGAUUUGGUCGUAUCCAGGCUCCGGACCGCAAGCGAGCCGAGGGAAAGGACCGACGCAAAUUGAGAAGCACUUCGUCCUAAGGCUCCUAACGAGCCGGAGGUCGAAGUGGAAACCUCAACUCAUGCUCCGCUGAACGGAUACACGAGUCGGACGUACUUUUAAUUUAAACGGUCCAAACUGGGUCAGUGUGUCGGGAGGGUGCACUUUAACGCCAGAUGUGCCAGUAUGUCCGUAUGUUUCGGCUUUCGGUCAUGAAACUUAAUCCAAGUGACCAGUGACAAGUGAAGGGCGAAGUGGAAUUGCGGGAGAGCUUACAAUAAAUACAAGGAGAGGUUUUUCAAAUUAACAAACGAGGAUUUAAUUUAAUAGUACUAUAACAAAACCAAUAUUUAGUAAUAUAUUUUUCUUAAGUAUAAAAUAUAAUUCUUUGGUUCUUUAUUCUGAAAUGUGUUAACGUAAGGAUUUAUAUUGUCUGAGUGUGUGAAAGUAGCAGUAUUGUGUAGCAGAAGGGAGAAGUUACGGAGAGGAUAGCGAGGGAAUAAAAAGAGAAGGAAAAAGAGAAGUUUUGGUGAGUGGAUUUGAGAGGGUUCGGCCUGAUUUUCCUCGGAUGAUGACAGGGAGCAAGCAAUUACCGUGAGGCAAAGGUAACAGAUUGAAAUUAUAGUGUGAACGGAUUGCAAUGUUUUUAUUUUCUUGUACAUAGGGGGGCAAA